GGUUGACCUCGGAUCAGGUAGGAAUACCCGCUGAACUUAAG
RNAcentral lists this ribosomal RNA (41 nucleotides) under Sarocladium kiliense. RNAcentral describes it as "partial 28S ribosomal RNA". The record is from RNAcentral. Lineage: Eukaryota; Fungi; Ascomycota; Sordariomycetes; Hypocreales; Sarocladiaceae. RNAcentral also lists the same sequence under 4 other names.